GCCUCAUAGUGCAAUGGGUCAGUGUAUCUGGCUGUUAGCCAGAAGGUCGGUGGUUUGAGACCACACAGAGACA
This is a non-coding RNA of Podarcis lilfordi (Lilford's wall lizard), 73 nucleotides long. The record is from the annotation of a GenBank genome assembly. NCBI's taxonomy places the organism in Eukaryota, Metazoa, Chordata, Lepidosauria, Squamata, Lacertidae.